RNAcentral lists this ribosomal RNA (180 nucleotides) under uncultured Glomeromycotina. RNAcentral's name for it is "partial small subunit ribosomal RNA". The stretch from base 38 to 180 matches the Rfam family "Eukaryotic small subunit ribosomal RNA", at positions 685 to 830 of the family's 1831-position model. The record is from RNAcentral. Lineage: Eukaryota; Fungi; Glomeromycota.
AGAUCAAAUUGUCGGUCGUGCCUCGGUACGUACUGGCAUUAUUGAUUUCUCCCUUCUGACGAACCAUGAUGUCAUUAAUUUGGUGUCAUGGGGAAUCAGGACUUUUACUUUGAAAAAAUUAGAGUGUUUAAAGCAGGCAUUCGCUUGAAUACAUUAGCAUGGAAUAAUAAAAUAGGACUU